GCGCCUGUAGCUCAACUGGAUAGAGCAACGGACUUCUAAUCCGUAGGUUGCAGGUUCGAGUCCUGCCAGGCGCG
RNAcentral lists this transfer RNA (74 nucleotides) under Candidatus Latescibacteria bacterium 4484_7. Its description in RNAcentral is "tRNA-Arg". It matches the Rfam family "tRNA". From Rfam's summary of the family: Transfer RNA (tRNA) molecules are approximately 80 nucleotides in length. RNAcentral also lists the same sequence under 2 other names. Lineage: Bacteria; Pseudomonadati; Candidatus Latescibacterota. The record is from RNAcentral.